CUUGUCUUUUAAUGAAGACCUGUAUGAAUGGCAUCACGAGGGCUUAACUGUCUCCCCUCUCCAGUCAAUGAAAUUGACCUCCCCGUGCAGAGGCGGGGAUAUUUCUAUAAGACGAGAAGACCCUGUGGAGCUUUAGACCUAAAAUAAACCACGUUUAAUAUACUAAAAUUAAUAGCAAAAACUUAGUGGACAUUUAUUUAAGUGUCUUUGGUUGGGGCGACCGCGGAGUAAAACACAACCUCCAUGUGGACGGGGAUACUAUCCCUAAAACUCAGAGCCUCCACUCCAAGCAACAGAAAUUCUGACCUCACUGAUCCGGUACAGCCGAUUAACGAACCCAGUUACCCCAGGGAUAACAGCGCAAUCCCCUUCUCAGAGCUCAUAUCGACGAGGGGGUUUCGACCUCGAUGGUNGGAUCAGGCCUUCCUAUGGUGCACCGUUUGGGGUUCGUUUGUUAACAUUAAGCCUCCGGAU
RNAcentral lists this ribosomal RNA (474 nucleotides) under Merluccius merluccius (European hake). RNAcentral's name for it is "partial 16S ribosomal RNA". It matches the Rfam family "Bacterial large subunit ribosomal RNA", at positions 1968 to 2604 of the family's 2925-position model. Lineage: Eukaryota; Metazoa; Chordata; Actinopteri; Gadiformes; Merlucciidae. The record is from RNAcentral.